GCCCGCGCGGGGCCUGGCGCCGCCGGCGGCGGGAGGUGGAGGUUCUCUCACGGGUCCGCGCCCCGCGACCGUGAUGGCGGCGGCGGCGGCGGCGGCAACGACGACCGCGACCGGGGGAGGUGGGGAGCGGAGCAGCACCCGGGACCGGCUCCUGGCGGCGCUGGAGGAUCUCGAGCUCUUGGCCAGGGAACUAAUUGAAAUUUUGGCAAUUUCAAGAAACCAAAAGCUUCCACAACCAGGAGAGGAGAGCCAGAUCCUGGAACUGCUGAUACAGAGAGAUGGAGAGUUUCAAGAGCUAAUGAAGCUGGCAGUUGAUCAGGGGAAAAUCCAUCAUGAAAUGCAGCUUUUAGAAAAGGUAGUAGAAAAGAGGGAUAAUGAUAUUCAGCAGCUGCAGAAACAACUAAAAGAAGCAGAACACAUACUGGCAACAGCUGUUUAUCAAGCAAAGGAAAAACUGAAAUCAAUUGAAAAGGCAAGAAAAGGUGCCAUUUCCUCUGAAGAAAUAAUUAAAUAUGCCCAUAGGAUCAGUGCUAGCAAUGCUGUUUGUGCUCCUCUGACAUGGGUACCAGGGGACCCACGUAGGCCAUAUCCUACUGAUCUGGAAAUGAGGAGUGGUCUCUUGGGUCAGAUGAACAACCCAUCCACCAAUGGAGUUAAUGGACACUUACCAGGGGAUGCACUUGCAGCAGGCAGACUGCCAGAUGUGCUCGCUCCUCAGUACCCUUGGCAGUCAAGUGAUAUGUCAAUGAACAUGCUACCUCCUAAUCAUAGUAAUGACUUUAUGUUGGAGCCUCCAGGACACAAUAAAGAGAAUGAAGAUGAUGUAGAAGUUAUGUCAACAGACUCCUCCAGCAGCAGCAGUGACUCAGACUAGGUACAAGAGAGACAGUAUCUCCAGUAGACCUUUCCUGUGGUGAAGAUGUUCACGUAAAAUGACUGGGAGCUUUUCUGCUGGAGGAGAAAUUCCAGUGAUUAUGUAAAUGUGUGAAUGUGUAUGUUUACAAGAGACGUGCUGUAUAUAUAUAUAUAUACACUUACUAUACAUUAGAUGACAAAAGUUCCUGGGAAAAAAAGGUGUAAGGGGAAUCCCCUUGUAUGUUUGUUAGUAACUUCACUCUUUUGCUGAUAGCCUUUUCUCAGAAAUGAGGCAUGAAAUUUGUAAUUUUAAUAUCUUCUUUUGUUACUGCCUAAACACAUGUUCUUGAUCAUCUUCUGUAUGCCAAGAACAAAAAUAUGGCAAAAAGGUGUAAAAAAGAAAAAGUUUGUAAUUAUUGUAAUAUAUAAUGAAUGAUUUGUCAUAAAUAAACUCGGCUUUGAUGUAACUGU
RNA transcript from Calidris pugnax (ruff), 1326 nucleotides. It is a transcript of the gene named mediator complex subunit 4, with no coding region annotated. The record is from RefSeq and is a predicted model, not a curated record. The transcript has 9 exons. Lineage: Eukaryota; Metazoa; Chordata; Aves; Charadriiformes; Scolopacidae.